GUCCCAGAACCAAGGAACUUUUAUAGCAAUAUUUCAUCUUGCCAAAACAUAACUAAUUCACACUAACCUAUUCAGGGCAAAAAUAGAAAAGAGGUAAAAAUAGCUUCUAAGUAGCCAAAUAGGUGUCAAAGAGUCACAAAUUCCAGCUGGAAUGGGCAGUCGUGUGUGCGAUGUCACUCCGGCUUGGGCUGAAAUCUCACGUACUUGUAAGAGACAGCUUUGUUAGCCUGUCCAAUCUCACUUUGCUUACAGUUCUAACUAGCUUGGUAUCCUAGUCACUAUUUCCACAAAUGACAAGGGGAAGGAAGCCACUCAAGGAAGCCACACUGCCAGCUCAAACCAGAAGGGGGACCACAGACGGCAGCAAAAACAACACAGCAGAAACAACAACCCAAAACCUUUUUUAAAAAAUGUCCCAAACAUGCAAAAGAAUACUGGUAUUUUACUGACUCUGUGGAACAGGAGAAGAACGGAGGUUCACAGCCAGAAAGAAUUGUCGCAAUCACGUUCGGAGUGCUCUUUCCAAGGCGUGGAGAUGAAGGAUUUGUUUUUUGCUGUUGUAUCUUUUCACGCAGUAUUGAUUCAGUACCAUUGUUCUUGUUGCGCAAUAUUUUGGAGAGAUUUCCCAAUAUGUAGGUUUCGAAUGAUGAAGACGUUGAUUCUAAAAUCUCUGGGGAACAUCACUGUCCAAACAACUGGUUUCCAUGGAGUUUUAGCCGAGAAGUUUCAUCCAGCAAAUUGGUUGGGUAACCACAGAGAAUGAUUUCUCUGCCUCUCUGCACGAGGGGGUGAUGCUGACCAGACUUCGCCUGUAAACCAGGGCGGUGGUGCUCCAUUUCGUGAGUAUGCGGGGACAGUCACCGGCCAUCCUUGCACAGUGAUGGGUUAAGGCAGAAACUGCCACCUGGAUCAAGAUCUAGAACGUUUCCAGCGCCCCAUGCUCCUUCUCAGUCUAUUAUCAUCUACCCGCCAGUAAGAGAGCUUGGCAGGAAAGCCACCGAGGUCAUUCUGCUGAAGGGGGGAGGCUAAGAUGUGCUGAGGUGAAGUCUCCGACCCCGAGUCCUGGCGGACCUUAGUGGCAAAACUGAAGGGUGAUUUAACAAGAAGCUUUACGAACAACAAUACAUAUUAAUGGCAAAUGGGCUCCCAGUAUUGAGAUCUGUUUAAGUGUUUUUGAUUCUUUAAGCUCACAUAAUGAAGGUACUGACCUAACAAAUAAAUAACUGUUCUUGGAAGAAAACCCCACAUCAGAGUAAAUAUUAACAAAGGACCUGGUUAUGGCACUCAUUGAACUUCAGGAGUUCCUUCAUGAUAUCUAGUUACCUGGGAGGUUGAAUUUUAUUUGGAAUGCUGAUUGGUGAGCACAGAGUAAAAUUUGCCUUGGGAAGAUAUUUAAGUAAACUCUGAAAAGCCAGAUGAAAUAUCUCUACUUCAAACUGAAUACAUCGCUGUGACACCACAGAAUGGAAUCCCCAAAUUCAGUACCUUUUCCAUCAAAAGUAUGAGUUCCUUUGGAGUAGAGAAAGUGAUAAGGAACGAAUCUGAUGAGCUAUAUGUGAUGGGCGGAAUGGCCUCCAAAGGUGUCCAAGCCCUGCUCCCUGGAAUGUGUUUCCUUGCAUGAUAAAAGGGGCUUUGCAUCUGCAAUUAUGGUUAUGGAUGUGGAUAAUCCAGGUGGGCCCUUCGAAGCAGAGAACGGUCUCUGGUUGGAGUCAAAGAUAUACAGUGAAAUAGGAGGCAGGAGAGGGAAUCCAAGAGAGAGGCUCCAAGUGUGAGAAGGGCAUCAAAGUGCUGUUACCCGCCCUGAGCAUAGGGAGACACCUGCCGGGGCGAAGAGAGGUCUCUAGGAGUUGAUGGCAGCUCCUGGCUGACAGCAGGCGAGCAAACAGGGACUUCAAUCCUACAACCGCAAGGAAUGAAAUUCUGACAACUGAAAAAGCUUGGAAGUAGAUUCUUCCCCAGAGCCUCCAGAAAAGAAGGCAGCUCUUGAUUCUGCCUUGUGAGACCUGGAGCAGAGAAAACCCUUGAGCCCUGCUGUGCCCACACUUCUGACCCACGAGAAGUUACAAAAUAAUAAAUGAAUGUUAUUUUAAGCCUG
Herpailurus yagouaroundi (jaguarundi) is the source of this 2095-nucleotide long non-coding RNA. RefSeq lists it as uncharacterized. The transcript has 5 exons. Lineage: Eukaryota; Metazoa; Chordata; Mammalia; Carnivora; Felidae. The record is from RefSeq and is a predicted model, not a curated record.